Molecule: transfer RNA, 76 nt
Filed under: Bacillota bacterium
Lineage: Bacteria; Bacillati; Bacillota
Description: Firmicutes bacterium (anaerobic digester metagenome) tRNA-Ala
Rfam family: tRNA
About the family: Transfer RNA (tRNA) molecules are approximately 80 nucleotides in length. Their secondary structure includes four short double-helical elements and three loops (D, anti-codon, and T loops).
Source: RNAcentral
GGGCCCGUAGCUCAGCUGGGAGAGCGCUUGAAUGGCAUUCAAGAGGUCAGGGGUUCGACUCCCCUCGGGUCCACCA